RNAcentral lists this transfer RNA (69 nucleotides) under Marmota monax (woodchuck). RNAcentral's name for it is "tRNA.SeC". Lineage: Eukaryota; Metazoa; Chordata; Mammalia; Rodentia; Sciuridae. The record is from RNAcentral.
GGGGUUGUGGCUCAGUGGUAGAGUGCUUGCCUCACACAUGGGGCACUGGGUUCGAUCCUCAGCACCACA